GAUGAAGAACGUAGUGAAAUGCGAUAAGUAAUGUGAAUUGCAGAAUUCAGUGAAUCAUCGAAUCUUUGAACGCACAUUGCGCCCCCUGGUAUUCCGGGGGGCAUGCCUGUUCGAGCGUCAUUACAACCCUCAAGCUCUGCUUGGUAUUGGGCCCCGCCAGUUCUGGCGGGCCCUAAAGUCAGUGGCGGUGCCUUCCGGCUCCGAGCGUAGUAAUUCUUCUCGCUCUGGAGACCCGGUUGUGUGCUUGCCAACAACCCCCAAUUUUUUAAGGUUGACCUCGGAUCAGGUAGGGAUACCCGCUGAACUUAAGCAUAUCAAUAAGCGGAGGA
This 329-nucleotide unclassified non-coding RNA is filed under the name soil metagenome. RNAcentral describes it as "partial contains 5.8S ribosomal RNA, internal transcribed spacer 2, and large subunit ribosomal RNA". The stretch from base 1 to 120 matches the Rfam family "5.8S ribosomal RNA", at positions 35 to 154 of the family's 154-position model. The record is from RNAcentral.